AUUGAACGCUGGCGGCAUGCUUUACACAUGCAAGUCGAACGGUAACAGGCCGCAAGGUUCUUCCUAGUGGCGGACGGUUGAGUAAUGCAUCGGAACGUGCCCAGUCGUGGGUUAUAACUACUCGUAAGAGUAGCUAAUACCCCAUACUAUCUCUUGCUGACAGCGGGGGACCGUAAGGCCUCUCCCGAUUUUACCCGCCGAUGUCAGAUUAGGUAGUUGGUGGGGUAAAGGCUCACCAAGCCAACGAUCUGUAGCUGGUCUGAGAGGACGACCAGCCACACUGGGACUGAGACACGGCCCAGACUCCUACGGGAGGCAGCAGUGGGGAAUUUUGGACAAUGGGCGCAAGCCUGAUCCAGCAAUGCCGCGUGCAGGAAGAAGGCCUUCGGGUUGUAAACUGCUUUUGUACGGAAAGAAACGGAUCUGGUUAAUACCCGGGGCUAAUGACGGUACCGUAAGAAUAAGCACCGGCUAACUACGUG
This 482-nucleotide ribosomal RNA is filed under the name uncultured bacterium. Its description in RNAcentral is "partial 16S ribosomal RNA". It matches the Rfam family "Bacterial small subunit ribosomal RNA", at positions 30 to 507 of the family's 1533-position model. The record is from RNAcentral.